GGGGAGAGGGGAGACAGGUAUGUGUACAGAUGUGGCCCGUACAGUGCAAGGUGGUAAGUAGAAUGGUGGAGAUGUGCUCAGUGUGAGAGAGGAGUGCACAGGAAGGGCUCCUUCUCCAGAGGAGUAAAGUCCUCCUGGAGAAGUCCAUGCUUGCAAGGAAAACUGGGGGAGAGGUCAUUCAGUGGAGAGGGGACGUGGGUAAUGCCUGGAGGUGAAAUAGAGUGCUGUCUGCCUGAGAAUCAAGAACUAUAGUUCGUGGGCACAGCAAGAGGUGGAGAAAGAUGAGGCUGGAGAAGUGAUGAGAGAUGAGUCUAGUCUUGUGCCAGCAAUUUAUUUUUGAAUAAUCCAAUUAUGAAAUCCUGCUUUGAGUGAAAGGAAGUAAAAACAAAAACAUUAAUAAAGGAACUAGCAUGCUCUUCUCAACAGUCCAAUACCUGAAUUUUAAGAAGCCAAAUUCAAUUAUCUAUAGAACACAGACAAGUGUAAUUUGCUUCAUUGUUUUUGCUCAUAAAAUUGAGCAGAGAACUGUUGACAUGUUUCUGUGGAAUAAUAGUGGGUCUUACUGAGAAACCAGCUCAGGUGACAUUCAAUGCUUUUGCAAGUGGGAAAUUGGCCCUUUCAGCUUUAGGAUUUUAUGAGUUUAUAUUUUGAAACUCUGAGGAGAGGUCUGGGUAGAUGGUUUUCUUUCUUUUCUCUCCCUUUGUCUUUUGUUCUUCCCUUCCCUUCCUCUCUCAUUCCUUUUUUCUUUCCUUCUUUUCUCCUUCUUACACUCCAUCUCUUUGAUUUCCAGUAUGUUGAAGGUUCUAAGCACCAGCCUCGCAAGGGAUGAAAAGGGAACAAAAGCAUACCUCUCUCCCCUGCCUGGAGGAUUAGCGCUAAAGUCCAUGGAAGAUUCUUUGGAUCACUAUGGCUCAUGAAUGAGUCUAAUGAUUAAGCAGAAAUUGCAGGCUUGUGAGCCAACAGCAACCACAUACACCUUUGGAGUCAUCAGAACCAGCGUUCUCAACACUGAAAGCAAAAUCAAGUAAACAAGGCUGUGUCGUGGACUUCCUUGACCCAGACUUUCAGGAAGGAGCUGACACACCGCCCAGACUCGCGCUCACCCACAUAGCUCCGAAGCCAAACAAACUCGUGUUUUCCCAGCUGUAUGAUGCACUCAGUUCACGGAGCAACUGGCCAGAAAACAAGGAAAAGAAAAAAAAAAAUGUGCCCAGUUCAGACCACUCAAGGAAAGUAGAAUUGCUUCAGCUGGCUUUUGUUUUUUAUUUUCAUGAAGUAUCAAGAAAUAUAAAGAUGGAGGAAGUUAGAUCUAUGGCUUUUAGUUACUAAAAAGGAAACAAAAUAUUUUUUCCUUUUAUAGAUCUGAUCUUGCUAUUACUCUGCUUAAAAACUUCAAUGACUUUAUAACUUUCAAUUUUGAUAGCCCUUACAGAUAUUUUAUGACUUGUUUAAAACAACAUUUCUAGCCACAUCAGCCCAAAUUUCCUCCCACUUAAAGCUGUUUUGAGCUUUGCCAGGCUUCUGUUAUAUUAAAUACUUCAUGUGCUUUCUUGCCCACAUGCUUUUGUUUAUGCUAUUCCUUCUGCUUAUAACACCUUUCCUUGCCUUGUUCAUUAAGGAAAUGCCAACUCAGAUUUUAAGACUCACCCUAAAGCAUAUGAAAG
Molecule: long non-coding RNA, 1664 nt
Organism: Bos grunniens (domestic yak)
Lineage: Eukaryota; Metazoa; Chordata; Mammalia; Artiodactyla; Bovidae
Source: Ensembl